CAGCAGCCGCGGUAAUACGGAGGGUGCAAGCGUUAAUCGGAAUUACUGGGCGUAAAGCGUGCGUAGGCGGUUCGUUAAGUCUGUUGUGAAAGCCCCGGGCUCAACCUGGGAAUGGCGAUGGAUACUGGCGAGCUAGAGUGUGUCAGAGGAUGGUGGAAUUCCCGGUGUAGUGGUGAAAUGCGUAGAGAUCGGGAGGAACAUCAGUGGCGAAGGCGGCCAUCUGGGACAACACUGACGCUCAUGCACGAAAGCGUGGGGAGCAAACAGGAUUAGAGACCCCUGUAGUCCCUGUCUCUUAUAA
RNAcentral lists this ribosomal RNA (301 nucleotides) under uncultured bacterium. Its description in RNAcentral is "partial 16S ribosomal RNA". It matches the Rfam family "Bacterial small subunit ribosomal RNA", at positions 509 to 809 of the family's 1533-position model. The record is from RNAcentral.